RNAcentral lists this ribosomal RNA (207 nucleotides) under uncultured bacterium. RNAcentral's name for it is "partial 16S ribosomal RNA". It matches the Rfam family "Bacterial small subunit ribosomal RNA", at positions 568 to 774 of the family's 1533-position model. The record is from RNAcentral.
UAGGUAGGUGGUCUCGUUUGUCUGGGGUGAAAGCCCAGGGCUUAACCCUGGAAGUGCCCCGGAAACGGCGAGACUGGAGUCUUGGAGAGGGUCGUGGAAUUCCCGGUGUAGCGGUGAAAUGCGUAGAGAUCGGGAGGAACACCAGCGGCGAAGGCGGCGACCUGGACAACAACUGACGGUGAGGCGCGAAAGCGUAGGGAGCAAACA